This 140-nucleotide ribosomal RNA is filed under the name uncultured eukaryote. RNAcentral's name for it is "partial 18S ribosomal RNA". It matches the Rfam family "Eukaryotic small subunit ribosomal RNA", at positions 1299 to 1458 of the family's 1831-position model. The record is from RNAcentral.
UGGUGGAGUGAUUUGUCUGGUUAAUUCCGUUAACGAACGAGACCUCGACCUGCUAAAUAGUCGCGCUGACCAAACGGUCGGUAGUGGCUUCUUAGAGGGACUAUCGGUGUCUUAGCCGGUGGAAGUUCGAGGCAAUAACA